RNAcentral lists this ribosomal RNA (471 nucleotides) under Amphisbetia distans. RNAcentral's name for it is "Sertularia distans partial 16S ribosomal RNA". It matches the Rfam family "Bacterial large subunit ribosomal RNA", at positions 1919 to 2542 of the family's 2925-position model. The record is from RNAcentral. Lineage: Eukaryota; Metazoa; Cnidaria; Hydrozoa; Leptothecata; Sertulariidae.
AAAAUUAAAAGGACGCGGUAACCUUGACCGUGAUAAUGUAGCAUAAUCAUUCGCCAUUUAAUUGAUGGAUAGUAUGAAUGGUUAAACGAAUAUUUCACUGUCUUAAAAAGAAAUACCUAAAAAUUGGAAUAAUAGUAAAGAUACUAUUUAAGAUUGUAAGACGAAAAGACCCUAUAGAGCUUAACUAUAAUCUAUUUUUAAACAAAAGAAAAAUUUUCAAAAAAAAGAUAGACUGGUAGUUUAGUUGGGGCGACUGUCUUUUAAAAAUAACAAAGACAAGCAAAGUAAUAAAAAAAACUUAUUGUAUAAUCAAUAAAUUUAACAAUUAUAAAAAUAGGCUAUAAUGACCCGUUAUAAUUUAAUAAAAGAAAUAACGAUCAAUAAAUAAAAGCUACCUUAGGGAUAACAGGAUAAUUUUAUUUUAGAGAUCUUAUCGAAAAUAAAGUUUGUCACCUCUAUGUUGAAUUAAGA